UACGUAGGUGGCAAGCGUUGUCCGGAUUUACUGGGUGUAAAGGGCGCGCAGGCGGGAUAAACAGUCAGUGGUGAAAUCCUACAGCUUAACUGUAGAAGUGCCUUUGAUACUUUUAUUCUUGAGUUCGGGAGAGAGAGACGGAAUUCCAGGUGUAGUGGUGAAAUACGUAGAUAUCUGGAAGAACACCAGUUGCGAAGGCGGUCUCUUGGUCCGAUACUGACGCUGAGGCGCGAAAGCGUGGGGAGCAAACAGG
This 253-nucleotide ribosomal RNA is filed under the name uncultured bacterium. RNAcentral's name for it is "partial 16S ribosomal RNA". It matches the Rfam family "Bacterial small subunit ribosomal RNA", at positions 524 to 776 of the family's 1533-position model. The record is from RNAcentral.